RNAcentral lists this ribosomal RNA (402 nucleotides) under uncultured bacterium. RNAcentral's name for it is "partial 16S ribosomal RNA". It matches the Rfam family "Bacterial small subunit ribosomal RNA", at positions 28 to 525 of the family's 1533-position model. The record is from RNAcentral.
GACGAACGCUGGCGGCGUGCCUAAUACAUGCAAGUCGAACGCAGUGGGGACGGGUGAGUAACACGUGGGUAACCUCCCAUCAGAGGGGAUAACACUUGGAAACAGGUGCUAAACCGAUACUGAUGGAUGGACCCGCGGUGCAUUAGCUAGUUGGUGAGGUAACGGCUCACCAAGGCCACGAUGCAUAGACGACCAGAGAGGGGGAUCGGCCACACUUGGACUGAGACACGGCCCAGACGCGUACAGGAUGCAGCAGUAAGGAAUCUUCGACAAUGGACGAAAGUCUGACCGAGCAACGUCGCGUGAGUGAAGAAGGUUUUCGGAUCGUAAAACUCUGGUGUUAGAGAAGCGGUAUCUAACCAGAAAGCCACGGCUAACUUCGUGCCAGCAGCCGCGGUAAAC